RNAcentral lists this non-coding RNA (148 nucleotides) under Gorilla gorilla gorilla (western lowland gorilla). Lineage: Eukaryota; Metazoa; Chordata; Mammalia; Primates; Hominidae. The record is from Rfam by way of RNAcentral.
GCCGGGUGUGGUGGUGGGCACCUGUAAUCCCAGCUACUCGGGAGGCUGAGGCAGGAUAAUCAGUUGAGCCCAGGAGACGGAGGUUGCAGUGAGCCGAGUUCGUACCACUGCACCCCAGCCUGGGCAACACAGUGAGACUCUGUCUCUA